Molecule: long non-coding RNA, 1786 nt
Organism: Lytechinus variegatus (green sea urchin)
Lineage: Eukaryota; Metazoa; Echinodermata; Echinoidea; Temnopleuroida; Toxopneustidae
Exons: 2
Source: RefSeq, a predicted model, not a curated record
UGGUAUGAAAGAAAAAAAGAAGGAGCUUGAGGGAUACCUGGAAGGAAAUGGGGUGAUUACAAUACAGGUGAAUUAAACGAUUUCUUGGGUUCUUGUUAUUUAUUGUACGUAUAGGAACAGGCUAUUGUGUGUUGUAAAAUACCUGGCGCUCAAACUGUGAAAAGGUGAACAUAAAACCUGCAUCGGCUAUAAUAUUGAAUGCUUGUCAAUGACCGCAAUAACGAAGAAAUAUAUUUUUUUAAUCAAGAGAGAUAGCAAGAGAAACGUAGAGGGGUGAAAGACAGCGAACAAAAAUUGUAACAACCUUCCACUUCGAUAAACACGUGGCACUUGUAUUCUGAGUGAACAAACUUUUUACCAUGUUUGCAGACUUAAAAAAAAUUGUGCCCUGAAGACCAAAUCGUGGAUGACGAAUUUUGUUUUUCUUGGCAAGUGCCAUUUAAGCGUGCAAGGUUAACGGUUCUCUUGUGGAGAAAAACAGCAGUUCGAUUUUAACCGACUGGCUUUCCUGGUUGUGGCUGUGUAGAUAAUUAAAGCUUUUCUGCUGACUUUGACCUGGCGACAUUGAAUAAAUUAUGAAGCAAGGGGUGUAUUUGCUUCUGGUUGUAUCUUUCCUUCUCCUUAGCUUCAGUCAAGGGGCUCCAUACCACAAGCCAAGAGAUGUCCAGAAAAGGGAAACAAAGGAGUCACCGCUUCUUUCGGAGAUCAGACAUGAUCUAGAGACGUACCUUAGUAACCAUUCCAAGAAGACGCCUUCCAGACGUGCCAACCGGAAUCCAUUUAACCCAGCUAAUUCGAUCACCUGGUAAUAAUACUUCUAAUGCGAAUGACCCCCCAACGACCACAGCGACAGAGUCACACCCCCACCCAGUCCAUGAGAACGAAAUACGGUACUUGGCGAAGUCCUCGACACCCCCCCCCCACACUCCCCUGGAAAUGGCCUGUUCGCCAUUCGCAGAGAUACAAACUGCUAUCAUGUUUGUCUUUAAGAGAUAGUUGAUUAUCAAUACAGAGCUAUCAGAUUUCAGUAUUCUCAUUUUAAUUCAAGUGCAUUCCUAUUAUGCCUUUUAUGCACCCUGCUUUAGAAACUUACAUAAUUAUGUUGCUAUUUAAAUAUCCAAAUAUGUUUCAUACAUUUGAUCUAAGUCUAAGAUAAUUCAUAAAAGGAUAUUUUUAAACUUGACUAGCAGACACUUUACGGAACGCUGUUAUCGGUCGACACCACGAUCAUGACAAUAUACUUGGUAGACUUUGUGUCUUAAUCCCAUCGGCUCGGAAUUUACCUAAAGCAUUGCCAUUUGUUUUUUUACCUUUUAAGUGGACAGUUCUGACAGAACCUCAUACCACUGUCCCGUUGUUAGUUCAUUAUAGUUUGAUGGUGCCCGGGGGUGGGCUCGAGCACGCAUAGUGACAGUAUCAGCAUGAUGUGGCCCGUAUAAUACCCGUUUCUUAAGACCUAAGUCUUAAGUCCCUCAUUUCAUAGCAACUUCAGUUCUUAAAUAAGGGUAUGGUUUCAGUUUUUCGGCUACAUGCCCCUACCCUUUCCAAAAUCGAGUGUCCCCGCCCGGAGUAAUAUCACUGUAGAAAUGACAUCUGUAGCUGUUUCUGUGCGUAUAUUUACGAAGUCAUUAAUUGUAUGCUUAAUUAUGCCAAUCUCAUUCAUCACGUUUAUUUCUUUAUUGAUAAUAAUAAACUUUAUUGAUCAGACUUGCACAACAGAGGUAAAGGUACAAUAGCCCGAAUUACAUACAGAGAAAAAAAAAGAAGGGCAUUAAACAUCCUUCCA